GACGAACGCUGGCGGCGCGCUUAACACAUGCAAGUCGAACGGAAAGGCCUGCUUUCCCUUGUGGAUUGCGGGUACUCGAGUGGCGAACGGGUGAGUAACACGUGAGUGAUCUGCCCCCAACUUGGGUAUAAGCCUGGGAAACUGGGUCUAAUUCCCGAUAGGACUGUAGGGUGGUGCCUGUGGUGGAAAACGAUUUUCUAGUGGUUGGGGAUGAGCUCGCGGCCUAUCAGCUUGUUGGUGGGGUAAUGGCCUACCAAGGCGGCGACGGGUAGCCGGCCUGAGAGGGUGGACGGCCACAUUGGGACUGAGAUACGGCCCAGACUCCUACGGGAGGCAGCAGUGGGGAAUAUUGCACAAUGGGCGGAAGCCUGAUGCAGCGACGCCGCGUGGGGGAUGACGGCCUUCGGGUUGUAAACUCCUUUCGACCGCGAGGAUGCCACCUGGUUGGAAGGGUGGUGACGGUAGUGGUAGAAGAAGCACCGGCUAACUACGUG
This 494-nucleotide ribosomal RNA is filed under the name uncultured bacterium. RNAcentral describes it as "partial 16S ribosomal RNA". It matches the Rfam family "Bacterial small subunit ribosomal RNA", at positions 28 to 507 of the family's 1533-position model. The record is from RNAcentral.